Molecule: ribosomal RNA, 372 nt
Filed under: uncultured organism
Description: bacterial SSU rRNA
Rfam family: Bacterial small subunit ribosomal RNA
Source: RNAcentral
CAGAGGUCCCGAGCGUUGUUCGGAUUUAUUGGGCGUAAAGGGUGCGUAGGCGGCGGAGUAAGUUGGGUGUGAAAUCCCGGGGCUCAACCUCGGAAUUGCAUUCAAUACUGCUUCGCUCGAGUACUGGAGAGGAGACUGGAAUUUACGGUGUAGCAGUGAAAUGCGUAGAUAUCGUAAGGAAGGCCGGUGGCGAAAGCGAGUCUCUGGACAGUUACUGACGCUGAUGCACGAAGGCCAGGGGAGCAAACGGGAUUAGAUACCCCGGUAGUCCUGGCAGUAAACGGUGCGCGUUUGGUGUGGGGGGAUUCGACAAUCUCCGCGCCGGAGCUAACGCGUUAAACGCGCCGCCUGGGAAAUACGGUCGCAAGAUUA